AAUACAAGGGCAGUGUGGGUUCUUGAGAAGUUCUACAUUGCACCUUCAAUCUGAGAUGAUCUCAUCUGCCAUUUGGCAAAGAGAAGCAUCUCUCUUAGAAACUCUCGAGCUCUUGUGGACACUGGUAUUCAAAAGAAGAUUUGAUAUGGUAUGAAAGUGGUCUGAAAGGUGCUACCGUAGUGCACUAAUUAACAAGUCUACACAGUAUCAAAGCAUGAUUGGCCUAAGCAAGUUUAUCAGAUAAGAGAAGUCUUCAUAUUUACUAUUCCAACUUGUCACUGCCACUGCUGAAGACUUCUUUACUUUCACUGCAUUAUUCUACUGAAGAUGACAAGCUGGCAUGUCAUUUUCAUGAACUGCUUUCAAGAUCUUCUAAACAUGACAGUCUGCUGAAAUGCUGUCGCAGAUCAUGGUACUCUCGAUGUCUUAGCCAACCCAGAGUAUGGAAGACCACAAAGAAAGAAGCCAAUCACAGUGAUUCUCA
Molecule: long non-coding RNA, 484 nt
Filed under: Phasianus colchicus (ring-necked pheasant)
Lineage: Eukaryota; Metazoa; Chordata; Aves; Galliformes; Phasianidae
Description: lncRNA (ENSPCLG00000003277.1)
Source: RNAcentral